RNAcentral lists this ribosomal RNA (485 nucleotides) under uncultured bacterium. RNAcentral's name for it is "partial 16S ribosomal RNA". It matches the Rfam family "Bacterial small subunit ribosomal RNA", at positions 29 to 523 of the family's 1533-position model. The record is from RNAcentral.
AGUGAACGCUGGCGGCGUGCUUAACACAUGCAAGUCGAACGAGAACGGGAUAUAGCUUGCUAUAUUUGUCAGCUAAGUGGCGCACGGGUGAGUAAUGUAUAGAUAACCUGCCCUCUAGAAAGGAAUAACAGUUGGAAACGACUGCUAAUGCCCUAUAUGCCUUUAAUACAUAAGUAUGCAAGGGAAACGCUUUAGUGCUUAAGGAUGGGUCUGUAUGGUAUCAGCUUGUUGGUGAGGUAAUGGCUCACCAAGGCUAUGACGCCUAACUGGUUUGAGAGGAUGAUCAGUCACACUGGAACUGUGACACGGUCCAGACUCCUACGGGAGGCAGCAGUGGGGAAUAUUGCACAAUGGACGAAAGUCUGAUGCAGCAACGCCGCGUGGAGGAUGACACAUUUCGGUGCGUAAACUCCUUUUAUAUAGGAAGAUAAUGACGGUACUAUAUGAAUAAGCACCGGCUAACUCCGUGCCAGCCGCCGCGGUAA